Molecule: long non-coding RNA, 531 nt
Organism: Bradysia coprophila
Lineage: Eukaryota; Metazoa; Arthropoda; Insecta; Diptera; Sciaridae
Source: RefSeq, a predicted model, not a curated record
CGACCACACAAUUAAAUACAAAAUAUUGUAGAUUGUGUAAAUAUACUUGCAAAAUGAACCGGGCAUAUGGAAUACAUUUAGCGAUAUUAAGAGUCGAUAUAUAAAACGAGUCCUCGACAAUUCAAACUAUCGAAAAAGAAUCAGUUUCAGUUCGAUGAUAAGAUAUUGUCGGAUUACAUUAAAUAUUGUUAAUACUCGAGAAUAAUAAGUUCGAAGGUCGACAUUUAUUUGGAGAGACAACACAACAAAAACUAAUGGAAGAAACCGAAUUUACGACGCGAAAAACAUUGGCUUGGAAUACACUUCCGAAUCGUAAAUCCGUAAAUUGAACGGUUGAUCUGUUGAGGAUAUUUGUUUAUAAACGGGAGGAUGAGGACAGUUUCGUUAGCGGCCAAAGUUUAAUAAUUAGAACGCAGCUUCUGUACGUCAUCAAAAAAAAAAAGCAAAAAAAAACAAAUAAGCAGAAGAAUGCCAACUCUCCAGAGCUUAUUUUGAAAAGUGAAUAAAAUUUGAAUAUAUUUCUCUAAUCCA